UACGUAGGGGGCUAGCGUUGCUCGGAAUUACUGGGCGUAAAGCGCACGUAGGCGGCUUUCUAAGUCGGGGGUGAAAUCCUGGAGCUCAACUCCAGAACUGCCUUCGAUACUGGAGAGCUCGAGUCCGGGAGAGGUGAGUGGAACUGCGAGUGUAGAGGUGAAAUUCGUAGAUAUUCGCAAGAACACCAGUGGCGAAGGCGGCUCACUGGACCGGCAUUGACGCUGAGGUGCGAAAGCGUGGGGAGCAAACAGG
Molecule: ribosomal RNA, 253 nt
Filed under: uncultured bacterium
Lineage: Bacteria
Description: partial 16S ribosomal RNA
Rfam family: Bacterial small subunit ribosomal RNA
Source: RNAcentral